CUUUCCUAUUUGGUUUGUAUAGUUUAUUUUGUUUUUUAUCUUUUAUUUUCUUUGGUUUUUGUGUUUUAGUUGUUUGUUGCUCAAUUUUGUUGGGUUUUUUUAUGAACGAUCGUGUUGAUUGUUGGUGAGGAAGAUGGCCGGUAAGGUGAAUCUUGUUGUUGCACUUCUGGUUAUCCUGGGGUUGUUUGCUCUCGGCUAGCGGUGUUGCAGUUCUGGUUUGUCAGCAAUCUUGUCGAUGAACGGUGGAUGGUCUUUGCACAGCAUCUGAAUUGCACAUGGGCUUGUUGGGCUUUCUGCUUGCAAGCUCUUUUCCCAUGUGGAUUAGACCAUCUGUUUAUUUAUUUGUUUUUAUGAAUUAUAUACUGUAUCCCAUUGAACUUUUUAAUGUAAUUACAUAUGCAUGAUAAAAAAAAAUUAUCACUUUUAA
Molecule: long non-coding RNA, 427 nt
Organism: Manihot esculenta (cassava)
Lineage: Eukaryota; Viridiplantae; Streptophyta; Magnoliopsida; Malpighiales; Euphorbiaceae
Exons: 2
Source: RefSeq, a predicted model, not a curated record